AACGGAGGUGAGAGCCCUCGGGUGCAUCAUCGACCGAUGAUUUGAGUACGAGCUUGGCUGGUCGGACCCGAAAGAUGGUGAACUAUACGUGAAUAGGGUGAAGCCAGAGGAAACUCUGGUGGAGGCUCGCAGCGGUUCUGACGUGCAAAUCGAUCGUCAAAUUUGCGUAUAGGGGCGAAAGACUAAUCGAACCGUCUAGUAGCUGGUUCCUGUCGAAGUUUCCCUCAGGAUAGCAGCAACGGGGAACAGUCUCAUGAGGUAGAGCGAACGAUUAGAGGCCUUGGGGUUGUAAUAACCUUAACCUAUUCUCGAACUUCGAAUAUGUGAGAAGUCCUUGUUACUUAAUUGAA
RNAcentral lists this ribosomal RNA (350 nucleotides) under Myriotrema olivaceum. RNAcentral's name for it is "eukaryotic LSU rRNA". It matches the Rfam family "Eukaryotic large subunit ribosomal RNA", at positions 727 to 1099 of the family's 3401-position model. Lineage: Eukaryota; Fungi; Ascomycota; Lecanoromycetes; Ostropales; Graphidaceae. The record is from RNAcentral.